GCGCCGCUAAAGAAUGCCCCUUUGUUUACCUCUUCAGAACAUGUGGCCACUCGCCAGGUAAAUACUACACUAACACAGAUACCACGGCCUGGCAGCCCCGAUAGGGCACAAACACACGUCUCAUAAUGAAUCAUUGUUCCGCGGAGGCAGACGUGUUCUUAAAGAGCGCGCAGAAAGGAGAAGGUUUAGGACAACUGAGAGCACUGGUGCUCGGCUACAGCAUGCUAUAGCCUAGGUAUUUAAGGGUGCUUUAAGCUAGACAGUCCUGUAAUAGUCUCAUCCCAGAAAAAAUAACGCAAGCUCGAGCGCCUGUGAUGGGAACUCCGGGCUAAUGCGGUGGUUUUACUCCGCACUGCCUCCGCGCUGCCAGAAUGGAGAGGCGGCGAUGAUGGAAUGAGGAGAGAGCCGGGCGGCCCCGGGCCCCGGUGUGUGUAAUCACGGGGCCCCAGCAAUCAGCAGCAGCCCCUCCAGCUGCAAGAAACAUCAACAAACCCGGCGAAGGAACCCGGAGUAUCCUCAGGACAACCGAGCGAGCGCCAUUUUAACUCUCUGAGGAAGAGAUCUGCACAAUCAGCGAGGAGGAGAAAAAUAAGUGUUUCUACGCGAGUGGAGUUUUCCGACAUUAUUGCACUCUUAUGCAUAUUACUGAAGUUCCCCACGGGAAAAUAAAUUCUAUUCUAUUCUAUUAUCCGUGUAAAAAUGAGACUCCGCAACAGAGUAAAUCAACUGUGAUUCCAUUUGCUCCUGUCCUCUAUAUUUGUUUUUAUAUUUGAUUUUGACUAUGUAUUUGAUUAUCAUACUGCAUAUUUCCUUUUCUCUUUUCUGUUGCUUUUUGGCAUUGCCAUUCCUUGUAAAGUGUGUUGAAUUCCAUAUGCUAGAUGAAAUGCACUCAAUAAAUAAAGUUUGAUUGACUGAU
Molecule: long non-coding RNA, 916 nt
Organism: Anguilla rostrata (American eel)
Lineage: Eukaryota; Metazoa; Chordata; Actinopteri; Anguilliformes; Anguillidae
Exons: 2
Source: RefSeq, a predicted model, not a curated record